This 914-nucleotide ribosomal RNA is filed under the name uncultured archaeon. RNAcentral's name for it is "bacterial SSU rRNA". It matches the Rfam family "Archaeal small subunit ribosomal RNA", at positions 1 to 922 of the family's 1478-position model. The record is from RNAcentral.
UCCGGUUGAUCCUGCCGGCGGUCACCGCUAUUGGGGUUCGAUUAAGACAUGCGAGUCGUGAGGGUUCGGCCCUCGGCAGACUGCUCAGUAACACGUGGAUAACCUGCCCUCAGGUGGAGGAUAAUCUCGGGAAACUGAGGAUAAUACUCCAUAGGCCAUUGAUGCUGGAAUGCUCUCUGGCCGAAAGCUCCGGCGCCUGAGGAUGGGUCUGCGGCCUAUCAGGUUGUAGUUGGGGUAAAGGCCCAACUAGCCAGCGACGGGUACGGGCCUUGAGAGAGGGAGCCCGGAGAUGGACUCUGAGACACUAGUCCAGGCCCUACGGGGCGCAGCAGUCGCGAAAACUUCACACUGCGGGAACCCGUGAUGAGGGAACCCCAAGUGCCUGGGCAUUAGCUCAGGCUGUUCACCUGUCUAAAAAACAGGUGAAGUAAGGGCUGGGUAAGACCGGUGCCAGCCGCCGCGGUAAUACCGGCAGCCCAAGUGGUGACCCUUUUUAUUGAGCCUAAAACGUCCGUAGCCGGUCCGGCAAAUCUCUGGGCAAAUCGGGCAGCUCAACUGUUCGACUUCCAGAGAGACUACCGGACUAGGGACCGGGAGAGGUCAGAGGUACGUUGGGGGUAGGGGUAAAAUCCUUUAAUCCUCAACGGACCACCGGUGGCGAAGGCGUCUGACUAGAACGGAUCCGACGGUAAGGGACGAAGGCUAGGGGCGCAAACCGGAUUAGAUACCCGGGUAGUCCUAGCUGUAAACGCUGCAGGCUUGGUGUUGGAGCUCCUUAGCGGGGUUCCAGUGCCGUAGCGAAGGUGUUAAGCCUGCUGCUUGGGGAGUACGGUCGCAAGACUGAAACUUAAAGGAAUUGGCGGGAGAGCACAGCAACGGGAGGAGCGUGCGGUUUAAUUGGAUUCAACGCCGGG